AUAUUGGACAAUGGGGGAAACCCUGAUCCAGCCAUGCCGCGUGAGUGACGAAGGCCUUAGGGUUGUAAAGCUCUUUUGGCGGGGACGAUAAUGACGGUACCCGCAGAAUAAGCCCCGGCUAACUUCGUGCCAGCAGCCGCGGUAAUACGAAGGGGGCUAGCGUUGUUCGGAAUCACUGGGCGUAAAGAGCACGUAGGCGGACUUGCUAGUCAGGGGUGAAAUCCCGGGGCUCAACCCCGGAACUGCCCUUGAAACUGUAGGUCUUGAGUCCGAGAGAGGUGAGUGGAAUUCCUAGUGUAGAGGUGAAAUUCGUAGAUAUUAGGAAGAACACCAGUGGCGAAGGCGGCUCACUGGCUCGGUACUGACGCUGAGGUGCGAAAGCGUGGGGAGCAAACAGG
This 398-nucleotide ribosomal RNA is filed under the name uncultured bacterium. Its description in RNAcentral is "bacterial SSU rRNA". It matches the Rfam family "Bacterial small subunit ribosomal RNA", at positions 361 to 776 of the family's 1533-position model. The record is from RNAcentral.